Populus nigra (black poplar) is the source of this 1241-nucleotide long non-coding RNA. RefSeq lists it as uncharacterized. NCBI's taxonomy places the organism in Eukaryota, Viridiplantae, Streptophyta, Magnoliopsida, Malpighiales, Salicaceae. The record is from RefSeq and is a predicted model, not a curated record. The transcript is spliced from 2 exons.
AAAAUAAAGAAAAUCGAUCAUUACCAUAAAAAAAAUAAUCCUGAUUCAGGAAUUUCUAUUGUUGACUGGUAUAGUCGAAUUACAAUCAAGGACCGCAUAUUCAUAAAAAUAAAAAUCAAGAACACCACCUAAUUAAUUGAAUCUGUAACCCAGAAAAACAAAUCUGAAAGAAUACAGUUCAUCAUCACAUCACGAGGGGCGGGCUAAGAUUUUGAAGAAUCAGAUUUAUAAAGCUUGUCAUAUUCCUCAAGCUCCUCGUAAUACACAUCCCAGACACAUCGAACACAUCCACUCCCACAACAAUCUCCUGGCUCCGGCUUCUCGGGGGGCGGCGGCGGCGGGGUAGCCGUCUUCUUCUUCGAUUCUUCCUCUCCUUGUUUACUCAUCACCGUUGAUUCAAUCUGUUGAUUUUUAUUUUCCGUUGCCAUUACAAAAUUGGCAGUAACGUGACAGGAUUUGGGAUCUUGAGAUCUUGAAUUGAAGGUGAUUGUUUUCGGUGAUAUAAAUAUUGGCUUAAAUGGGUUUUUCAUGGCGAAGAUAAAAUGGGUCGGGUCAUUUGGUGGGUUUUUGGGUUUUGGUAACGUGUAAGAGAAGAUUCGAGAAAGAAAAUGAUUAUGGAGGGUCGCUUCCAUUUACGAUCUUUAAGUUUGGCAAGGGAGAAUCCAUGUGAGCGGGCGGCGGGUGUUGGAGGAAUUCGGCCCGGUGAAAGUUGUGAUUGACUUUUUGACUUUAUAUGUGGCAGCUUUUUAUUGGUUGAUUACUCUUAAGACGACAACACCCGUUUGUCUGGUCUGCGUGAGUAGAAAGUCAAAACCACCCAUUUAAAUGUGGCUGUUGCGAUUCUUUUCCUGUGCUUUCACUAAGAAGAUGUGGCGGCAAGUUCUAGGUCCUACCAUGAUCAAUAGGUAGGUGGGGGACAGAGACUGUGCUCCAUAGGGCCAUUCGGUUUCUGACUUUCUGCAGAUUUUCUUGCUGUGCUGUUGGGAGUUGGGCCUUGCUUGAUCUUCAUGUAUCUACUGUGUUUGGAAGGCCCAAGAUAACUAAAUUCAUGGUACUAGAGAUAUCUCUGUGUAAAACUAGAAUUCUAAAUGAUGCUUUAUCUGAUUCUAAAUUUUGUGUAAUCUGUCAACUGUGUAACUUUACUAGCCAGCAACUGUUAGCCUGUUUUUUUUUAUGGCAUCUGCUGAUGCUAUGCUCUUAUUUUUUAACUUUGAUUAUAUAAUAUGAAAUUGAUUUGUUAA